AGAUUGAACGCUGGCGGCAUGCCUAACACAUGCAAGUCGAACGGGAGUAGCAAUACUCUAGUGGCGGACGGGUGAGGAAUACGUAGGAAUUUGCCCUUAAGUGGGGGAUAACCCGGGGAAACCCGGAUUAAUACCGCAUGACCUCGAAGGAGCAAAGUGGGGGAUCGCAAGACCUCACGCUUUUGGAGAAGCCUACGUCGGAUUAGCUAGUUGGUGAGGUAAUGGCUCACCAAGGCGACGAUCCGUAACUGGUCUGAGAGGAUGAUCAGUCACACCGGAACUGAGACACGGUCCGGACUCCGUACGGGAGGCAGCGAGUGGGGAAUAGUUGGACAAGUGGGCGCAAGCCUGAUCCAGCAAGUGCCGCGUGUGUGAAGAGGUCCUUACGGUUAGUAA
This 396-nucleotide ribosomal RNA is filed under the name uncultured soil bacterium. RNAcentral's name for it is "bacterial SSU rRNA". It matches the Rfam family "Bacterial small subunit ribosomal RNA", at positions 26 to 429 of the family's 1533-position model. The record is from RNAcentral.